GACAGAGGGGGCAAGCGUUGCUCGGAAUUACUGGGCGUAAAGGGCGCGUAGGCGGUUUGGCAAGUCGGGUGUGAAAUCUCCGGGCUCAACUCGGAGAGGCCACUCGAGACUGCUAUGACUAGAGUCCGGUAGGGGACCAUGGAAUUCCUGGUGUAGCGGUGAAAUGCGUAGAUAUCGGGAGGAACACCAGUGGCGAAGGCGGCUCUCUGGGCCUUACCUGACGCUGAGGAGCGAAAGCAUGGGGAGCAAACAGG
This 254-nucleotide ribosomal RNA is filed under the name uncultured bacterium. Its description in RNAcentral is "partial 16S ribosomal RNA". It matches the Rfam family "Bacterial small subunit ribosomal RNA", at positions 524 to 776 of the family's 1533-position model. The record is from RNAcentral.